UUUCCGUAGGUGAACCUGCGGAAGGAUCAUUAUCGAGUUUUGACUGGGUUGUAGCUGGCCUUCCGUGGCUGGCGCACGCCCUGCUCAUCCUCUCUACUCCUGUUCACUUACUGUGGGUAUCACAUCGUGAAGCGUGCUCUUUUACCAGACCUUGUGAAGCGUGUCUGUGCCUGCGUUUUUCACAUACACUAUAAAGUAUCAGAAUGUGUAUUACGAUUUAACGCAUCUAUAUACAACUUUCAGCAACGGAUCUCUUGGCUCUC
This 263-nucleotide unclassified non-coding RNA is filed under the name plant metagenome. Its description in RNAcentral is "partial contains small subunit ribosomal RNA, internal transcribed spacer 1, and 5.8S ribosomal RNA". The record is from RNAcentral.